CCCCAUCGCACACAAGACACAGACGCAACCUCUGAGGCUUCGACCUCCUUCCAGUGUCAACACCACCUCCGGCACCUCCCUUCGCCAUCGCCUCUGUUCUCUAUUCUUCCUUUAGUGUCGGCCACUGCUUUUGCUGGUACAGCUAGCGUCGUCAGCAACGAACGCCUCCAACGAGCCCACUGCAUCGUCGACUCUCUCGGCGAGUACGUCACAUUCACCGACGCCGGGGUCAGAUUCAAAAUCGGAGAGAAUCGUUCCGCCAGUGCUUGCUCAAGUUCCAGUUUCUAAUUUGACUUCUUCGUCUUCCAUGAGUUCAUCUUCGCCUGCACGCAAAAACGGCAGGAUCAGGAGUUCGUUGAUACGUAACCUGGGAGCCCUCAGAGCAUCUAUCCCGCAUUUUAAUCUUUAGUGUAUGAUGAUGUCACGUUUAUUUAUUAAUGCCGCUUGCACUUUUAUGUGUGGUGUUUGCAUCUUAUGCAAUAACAUUAAGGAAUGAAGUCACGAAACUUAAGAUAAUGUUGAAGCCAGAAGAGAAAGUGUGCAAGCCAGGGUUUUAUGUGCUACAUAUAUGGAAGUAUUCAAAUGGAAAAUGUGGUCAUUAGAUGAUUAAUCUUGAAUUUGUUUAAUUGAUCAAGUUUCAGUUGUUAUUAUGGUAUUUAGAUUAGAUUUGCAAGUAAUAGAUUCUGGUCAUUAGAUGGUUACUCUUGAAUUGGUUUAACCGAUUAACUUUUAGUUGUGAUUAUGGUUUUUAGAUUAGCAAUAUUUUUCCAUUUUCAUUUUCAAGAACAUAUAUGAUUGUGUUUGUAUACAUUAUUUCGUUAUUUUUAAUAUAAAAUUGCAAGUGUUUUCUUUUGUA
This is a long non-coding RNA of Lactuca sativa (garden lettuce), 856 nucleotides long. RefSeq lists it as uncharacterized. Lineage: Eukaryota; Viridiplantae; Streptophyta; Magnoliopsida; Asterales; Asteraceae. The record is from RefSeq and is a predicted model, not a curated record.